RNAcentral lists this long non-coding RNA (1664 nucleotides) under Marmota monax (woodchuck). The record is from RNAcentral. Lineage: Eukaryota; Metazoa; Chordata; Mammalia; Rodentia; Sciuridae.
AAAGGCAUAUGUGUCCAAAAAAUGUACAUAAGCCCAAGGUACUUUGGAAGGAUAUUCUAACAGGACAAUGGAAAGGUCCUGACCCAGUGAUUGUCUGGAGUCGGAGGUCUGUUUGUGUGUUUCCACAGGGAGAACAGGAGCCGAUUUGGAUUCCAGAGAGAUUAACUAAAGCAAUUUCUACAGACCAAAAAGAAGAUGAUUUGGCUCAAAUCCAUAACAGCUGAUAUCCAGAACUCCAGUUUGGCUAUCCUUACAUCUGCCAAAGUGGUUCUCCCACACCUGGAGGCUAAUGAAUAAUGAACAUCAUUAAGGCCUAUUUCAAAUGUAAAAAACCUUAGGGCUUGCUUGUGGGAAUACCUUCAGACCCAUUAUGCAAGUUACAGGAAAAAGGAUGGGAUAAAAAUCAACAGAAGAGUCAAACCCAGGUGGUAACCAGGAUGCUUUUUUCAAUAUCUAUUUUAUUAUUGCCCUCUCCCACACCAUGAAGUUUUAUUUUAUUUUUUGAGCUCAUACAGACCUAGGUUAGUGUUUUUCUGAUCAGUUCUAUUUUUUGACUGUGGAGUUUGUAAACAUUGCAAUGGGGAUUUCACCUGUGAAAAGCUACAAGGCCUUUACUAUUGUCUUAUGUGUUGUAUGUUAUGUGUGCACACUUGUGUUAUGUGUUGUAUGUCUGUAUGUGCGUAUGUCCAUAUAUCAUAUAUGAGGAGCGCUCAUGAAAAAAUGGAUCCAAAUAUUUUUUUAUUCACGUGAUUUAAACGGUUUAAUUUAAAUUGGGUAAACAGCUGUUGAGGAUUGUUUUAAUAUGUGAACAAAAAAGGAGGUUAACAGAUCUGUUUGUUUACUUUCACCUUUCCUUUUCNCAAAAGGGGGAGAUGUUGAGAGCCACAACCAAGUCAAGAUGGUGCCUGGCAUUUUGCCAGAAGGAGUGGUUGAGAAGUAACGCCAGCGAGCCAUUAAGAUGAUGAUAAUUAAGUUAAGCUGUGUAUAAUUAUUAAGAUAAUGACUGAUUACUGUAACUGGAUGAUGCUAAAUUGAAACAAGCUGUGUAUUCAGUUGUGUAUAUAAGCCUCUGCUGUCCAGCAAUAAGGCGGCUCCUGCUACCUCGGGUGCCUGCUACUUUUGAGUUCUCGCGGAGUUCCCGUUGAGUUCCCGUGGAGUUCGCAUGGGUUCUGGAAUAAAGUUCAUUCCUGCUUGAAUCUACAAGUGGCUCGUGACCUCCCGGUUAUUUGUGCCCAGCCAGANGGUAAGGACCAUAUGUAGUAUUGGACAAAGUAAGACAGGCACGGUCCCUAAGCCAUAUACUUGUUGUUUAAAAACAAAAGGGGGAGAUGUUGAGAGCCACAACCAAGUCAAGAUGGUGCCUGGCAUUUUGCCAGAAGGAGUGGUUGAGAAGUAACGCCAGCGAGCCAUUAAGAUGAUGAUAAUUAAGUUAAGCUGUGUAUAAUUAUUAAGAUAAUGACUGAUUACUGUAACUGGAUGAUGCUAAAUUGAAACAAGCUGUGUAUUCAGUUGUGUAUAUAAGCCUCUGCUGUCCAGCAAUAAGGCGGCUCCUGCUACCUCGGGUGCCUGCUACUUUUGAGUUCUCGCGGAGUUCCCGUUGAGUUCCCGUGGAGUUCGCAUGGGUUCUGGAAUAAAGUUCGUUCCUGCUUGAAUCUACAAGUGGC